AUGUAGCUCAGUGGCAGAGCACAGGUUUUGCAUGUAUGUGGCCCUAGGUUCAAUCCCCAGCAU
This 63-nucleotide transfer RNA is filed under the name Bos taurus (domestic cattle). It matches the Rfam family "tRNA", at positions 5 to 66 of the family's 71-position model. Rfam says of the family: Transfer RNA (tRNA) molecules are approximately 80 nucleotides in length. Their secondary structure includes four short double-helical elements and three loops (D, anti-codon, and T loops). RNAcentral also lists the same sequence under 1 other name. Lineage: Eukaryota; Metazoa; Chordata; Mammalia; Artiodactyla; Bovidae. The record is from Rfam by way of RNAcentral.